Salvelinus namaycush (lake trout) is the source of this 1903-nucleotide long non-coding RNA. RefSeq lists it as uncharacterized. The transcript has 3 exons. NCBI's taxonomy places the organism in Eukaryota, Metazoa, Chordata, Actinopteri, Salmoniformes, Salmonidae. The record is from RefSeq and is a predicted model, not a curated record.
AACCCAGUUGUUUUCUUCUCUGUUUUCCAGCACAGGUGUUUUUAUUUGCACCAGCCCUAUAAAACAUUAUAUACACUGCCCUGAUUAGAAGCGUGCCUGGAUAGAGAAACACCUGAGCUAUGACUUCUUGGAGCAGAUCAUCCUGACCUGAGACAAGACUAUGGUGACUGGGGACAUCCUCAUAGAUGACACGCCGGACAUCCUAGGUGUAGAGCCCAACCUGGGAGCACAUCCUGUUCACUGCCUGCCACAACAAAAACGUAACCCCCAGAUCCAGCCAGCGCCUGCUCUCCUGGGCCGAUGAUUGGAGUGCCAUCCUGGAGAGCAAGAGGCACUGCACCCUUAAGCACACACCAACCUCCCCUUCUCCACCCUGAUGACCUACACUACAUUGGGGUUCAACUGCUAGAGUGAAUACCUCCACUAACUUGUCCAACUUGAAGUUAAGUGAGUAUUAAUCUGUUUGACCACUAGGGGGCACACAUAGACUGAAGCGUGAGGUAGAAAUUUGUGGUGUGCCGAUCUCAUCCUACUCGUAUUCGUAAUCGUAUCCGUUUUAUCACACAGCAUACUCGUAAUCGGAUUUACUCGUGAUCGGAAAACACAGAAGUGCGCUUUAAAUGCUGGUAAAGCCUAUACCUUCAGGGCGCAUUACUGCGCUAUCACUCAAAUGUGCAUCGUUAUGCCCCUUCACUCAUUCAUGCACACAUUGUUAAAUGACCCAGACAGAUGCAAAUGCACAUGAUUUACUUACUUAGUCCUAUUCAAUUAUCAACGAAACAGGCUAAUAAAUAGCCUAAUGCAUGACUGGCUACUAUUGCCUGCAUUUAUUCCAGACACAGGUUUAGAUGAAGGUAACGCUAGGCUAAUUCGCUUCCCCAUAUAUUGUUUCACUUUCGAGAGGAGCAAAACUUUUCCCUCCCGACACUUAUGCCACAACAUUUGUGCAAUCAAAAUAAACAAUCUACAUUUGUCAUUUUAUUUUCGACUGAUCUGUUGCUCGGUAAACUUGUCUGGGCUAGAGUAAAUAAUAAUAGCAAGCAAGCGUGGGUUUGGAUCACGAUUUAAUGACAGACGUCGUCAGCGAUGGAAUAUAUGGACAGACAAAGUAGGCCUACUAAACAACCGUAUGGCCUCAGCAAAGUCGACAGGACAUAACUAGCUAUGGAUUCUGAUUCAUACGCAAUGUUUGGAGGAGGGGAGUUUUCGAUCACAAAUAAUUACAAAAAAAUACUUAUUUUUUUCAUAAUCGUAUUUGGAAAAUGUAUCUCUAUUACGGUACUCGUUUUGUCCGAGUACUCGGCACAUCACUAGUAAAAAUAAUGAAAAUGAUUUUACUGUUUUGACUGUUUUCAGAGUUUACUGUUUUUACACACUCGUUAUAGUUGUUCGGGUAUCUAUUAUCAGUUGUCUGUCUGUAUGGUUUUGGAAAGUUUUUCAGCCUGUAUUUUGACAAUUUGGGAGAAUAGAGUAUAAUUUCAAAGGGAUAAAAUUAUCCAUUUUAAAAGUGGUCUAGAGUUGUUUAGUGUGGUGUGCACUUUAACCAUCGAUUAAGCACCAUUCCUUAUCAACUGACAGAGAGACUUACUAUCACUCCACCCAAAGGCACACAUCAUUGCAACAUGUUUAAAUAGUCACCACUGUCAAUCACCUGGAAUAUAAACCACACGCAUAAACAUUUUGUAUGUUGACAAGGACAUUGGCCCGAGGACCAUAGGGCUCUGUUUUACAUGUACUGUAUGGGAAUGACUCCAUAUUGUAAAUGUUGUUUUCCACCAUUGUGCCAACAUACUGUAGAUCAAAUGGUAGCAUAUAUAUAUUUUUUCAACCUAGUUUAGGUCGAUUUUAUAGAGGGUUACAUAAAUUAAUAUGUUUUCAAGCUGCACCCAUAGCUUAUGUAAUU